AAGUCUCUAUUAUUAUCCUCUGAUAUGCAUGGAGACAUGGCAUCAAUAAUGGGAGCAUACAUGCCAAGCCUUCCUUGAGAAAAAUCCUGAAAAUAUUUCUCUGUUACACCACGAACUUGCAAUAUUCUGAAUUUCCAAAUCAUUUUCACCUUGUUCCUACCACUAGUUGUCACAACCAAAAAGCUUUUGCUCUUUGUUUCCAAAAUACUUCCUCUUGGACGAUCAAAGAAGCGAGUCUCUUCGUUUUCACUUUCAAACUGUUAAACAGCGACUCCAUCCCUUCUCAAUCUUAAUCUUUCCAAAUUCACAUUGCUUGCAUAUGUGAUAUGUCAAAGUCUUAUUUGAAGUGCAUAUGAAUCCUUCUACUUGAUAUUCGCAAAUGUAACACCUCAAUAUUUUGUAUACAUUGUAUAUUUUUCUUAGUAAUUUUUUUGGGC
This 437-nucleotide long non-coding RNA is filed under the name Medicago truncatula (barrel medic). RNAcentral describes it as "long non-coding RNA (MTRU_LNC008781)". The record is from RNAcentral. Lineage: Eukaryota; Viridiplantae; Streptophyta; Magnoliopsida; Fabales; Fabaceae.